RNAcentral lists this ribosomal RNA (253 nucleotides) under uncultured bacterium. RNAcentral's name for it is "partial 16S ribosomal RNA". It matches the Rfam family "Bacterial small subunit ribosomal RNA", at positions 524 to 776 of the family's 1533-position model. The record is from RNAcentral.
UACAGAGGUCCCAAGCGUUGUUCGGAUUCACCGGGCGUAAAGGGUGCGUAGGCGGUCAGGUAAGUCUGAUGUGAAAUCUCUGGGCUUAACCCAGAAAUGGCAUUGGAUACUAUUUGGCUUGAGAGUUGGAGGGGGGACUGGAAUUCUUGGUGUAGCAGUGAAAUGCGUAGAUAUCAAGAGGAACACCAGUGGCGAAGGCGAGUCCCUGGACAACUUCUGACGCUGAGGCACGAAAGCUAGGGGAGCAAACAGG